GACGAACGCUGGCGGCGUGCUUAACACAUGCAAGUCGAACGGAAAGGCCCUGCGCUUGUUGGGUGCUCGAGUGGCGAACGGGUGAGUAACACGUGAGUAACCUGCCCUUGACUUUGGGAUAACUUCAGGAAACAGGGGCUAAUACCGGAUAUGAGCUCCGGCUGCAGGGUGGGGGGUGGGAAGUUGAGGUUGUUGGGGAUGGACUCGCGGGUGAUCAGCUUGUUGGUGGGGUAGUGGCUUAGUAAGGCUUUGGCGGGUAGCCGGCCUGAGAGGGUGACCGGCCAACUUGCGAGUGAGAUACGGGCGAGAGUCGUACGGGAGGCAGCAGUGUGGAAGAUUGCCCGAUGGGCGGAAGCCGGAUGCGGCAACGCCGCGUGCGGGAUGAGGGCCUUCGGGUUGUAAGACGCUUUCGCCUGUGACGAAGCGUGAUUGACGGUAACGGGUAAAGAAGCACCGGCUAACUACGUG
This 468-nucleotide ribosomal RNA is filed under the name uncultured bacterium. RNAcentral's name for it is "partial 16S ribosomal RNA". It matches the Rfam family "Bacterial small subunit ribosomal RNA", at positions 28 to 507 of the family's 1533-position model. The record is from RNAcentral.